Molecule: ribosomal RNA, 350 nt
Filed under: uncultured bacterium
Lineage: Bacteria
Description: bacterial SSU rRNA
Rfam family: Bacterial small subunit ribosomal RNA
Source: RNAcentral
AAUAAACCUUUCUACGUGUAGGAAGCUGAAUGUACCGAAGGAAUAAGGAUCGGCUAACUCCGUGCCAGCAGCCGCGGUAAUACGGAGGAUCCAAGCGUUAUCCGGAUUUAUUGGGUUUAAAGGGUGCGUAGGCGGCUUAUUAAGUCAGGGGUGAAAGACGGUGGCUCAACCAUCGCAGUGCCCUUGAUACUGAUGAGCUUGAAUACACUAGAGGUAGGCGGAAUGUGACAAGUAGCGGUGAAAUGCAUAGAUAUGUCACAGAACACCGAUUGCGAAGGCAGCUUACUAUGGUGUUAUUGACGCUGAGGCACGAAAGCGUGGGGAUCAAACAGGAUUAGAUACCCUGGUAG